AGAGGAGAAGGUCCACUUCCUACUGCGAAGCGGGCAAACUGCUCACGGCUCAACUCUGGAAUAAGGAACUCUCGGAGGAGAGGACCCCCGUUCAGGUGGCAUUCUGAUGUACUGGGUCCCUGCAGAAAAGAAAAAGCCACCAUGGCUUGUGCUUCCCCCCUGAUGCUGAGAUCUGUGGCUGAAAGGAGAUGGAGGUUCUGCUGUUCCUGGAACCCAAGGCGACAGCAAGUUCUAGAUCAUGGCAGAGAUGCCCAGAUGUUCUGGGGAGUCUGGAACCAUCAAAAACCUGCAGCAAGAUGCCUUAGACAAGCCUGGGGACUGGAGCAAGCUGGUACAAGCUUCUAGGAACUAUACCAUAGUCAUCUCCCACAACCUGGAGACCAAGAAGACCUGAAUGAAGCUGCCUUCAGGGUCCAAGAAGGUGAAUUCCUCAGCCAACAGAGCUGUUGUUAAGGGCAAAAUUGGCUAGAGAUGGACAGCUGGCUAACACAGAGCCACAAGGCAAGUUUGUGAUCACCUUGGGUCCUGGAACUCCACCCUGUGCCCCCUCUAUACUAAGGUACCAUGAUUCUUAACCUCUGAAGAUUUAAUGAUGUAAAGGGCAGGGCUGAGUCUGCAAACAGAGACUCCAUUUGGACAUAGGAACAACUUACAGGUGCCAAAAGGCUUCUUAGUGACUGAUGGAGGUAACGUUGUCAAAGUUAGAUCACAGAUCACAGCCAGAAGGAGGUUCUCUCCACUCUAGACAUCAGCACUGAAUUCUUACCCACUUGAGUUUAUGGGCUGGGAAGUCCUUUACUGCUUUAUUAUAACCCACCUGGCUCCUAGCUCAGUUUUCACUUAUCAAUAAGCUUCAGUUUCCCAAUCUAUCAACUAUUUAACAAAAGAGUCCACAAAGUCAGUGAGUUCCUUGUGCUAGAUACCCGGGGAAGAUGGAGAUACCCGGGGAAGAUGGAGAUACCCUGGGAAGAUGGAGAUACCCUGGGAAGAUGGAGAUACCCUGGGAAGAUGGAGAUACCCUGGGAAGAUGGAGAUACCCUGGGAAGAUGGAGAUACCCUGGGAAGAUGGAGAUACUCUGGGAAGAAGGAGUUACCCUGGAAAGAUGGAGAUGCCCUGGGAAGAUGGAGAAAGAUGCAGCUGAUCCUCAUGAGACUAUUGGAAGUACCUUCAGACACUAGCUAUCAAUUAUUUCAUAGGUAAUUUCAUAGGUAAUUCAUUGCAGGUUGAAAAACUUUCAUUGAGCUCUUACUGUAUGCCAGGGCUGCAAGAGAGGAUAGAGAAAUGAAUAAGAUAUACUGGCCCAAGUGGACAUUGGCUGUUGACUAAUGUCUCAUAUCUCAUCAUGACCUUCCAUUCCAGUACAAGAACUUUCUGGCCUCAGCUUAGAGUGAACACGUUUAAUUUGUAAAUAUGUUUCUGAUGAUUUUUUGCGAUAAUUCUCCUACAAAAAAUAAAACCAAGAG
This 1464-nucleotide long non-coding RNA is filed under the name Mus musculus (house mouse). RNAcentral describes it as "paired box 6 opposite strand 1". Lineage: Eukaryota; Metazoa; Chordata; Mammalia; Rodentia; Muridae. The record is from RNAcentral.